Bombus pascuorum is the source of this 5775-nucleotide RNA transcript. It is a transcript of the gene named treacle protein-like, with no coding region annotated. The record is from RefSeq and is a predicted model, not a curated record. Lineage: Eukaryota; Metazoa; Arthropoda; Insecta; Hymenoptera; Apidae. The transcript has 11 exons.
GAAAAGCACGGUCGAAAGAGGAGCGUGUAACGAAGGCUCGGGAAGAGAAGUCGGAGAAAGAGAGGGAACACGGCGUGCCUCGCGGGUCGCCGGCUCUUCUUCAGGGUCCGAGCUUCGUCCGAAACGAAGCGCCUUCGUUCUCCUCCUCUUCUCUUAUGAGAACGUGCCGUCGGGGACGACGCUUCGUCGAACCGUUCGUCGUUCGAUCGGUUCUCCACGUUUGGCCUCACUCGUCUCUUCUUAUCCCUCUUUCGUUUAAUCCUUCUCUAGUUUCCUGUAUCAUACUCUAUCUGUCUCUCGUGCCUCCGUCUCUUUCUGUCUCGCUUUAUCUGUCUGUAUUCUUGCAUCUUUCUCCAUCUCGAUCAUUCGAUUCACCGGUUUCUUCCUCUUCUUAGCUCCGCAGCUUCCUUCUUCUCUCGUCUUUUCGGCUCGAACCGCGUGUCACGGUGAAGCGAACGUGGUGCACGCUCCGGGUGGUGGUGCUGGUGCUUGGUGUUGGUGGUGGUGGUGGUGCUGGUUGUUUUGGUGUCGUCGAUGGUGUCGGUGGUCGAUGGUGAUCGGUGAAUCCGCCUCGAGCGAUCAGGAGAUCUCACCCUUGGAAACCUUCCGCUUUCGCUCGAUCGAGGAGGGGAGGCUGCUCGAAUCAUGGCGUCCUACAGGAGCUACGGUGACACUGGCGCCUACCGACCCAGAGGCAAUGUUGGCAUCGCCGCAGGUACAUUUGGAAGAACGACCACGUCGACUGGCAGCGGUCUUCCGGGUUGCAGGAACAGCUACUCGUCGUCCAUCGGUUCCGGUUCCAGCCGAGUGCACGGCAAGGAGAGGGUUUCUGGCUUCGGAAACGCGUUUCUAAAGAAAGACAAGUCCGAGGAAAAACCUACCUUUAAGUACUCCACUAACAAGGACGCGGACAAAAACAGACUACACCCCAGUAGGUCGUCGACGGAGGAUGUAGGGGCGAAAAGUCCAUUAUCGAGCAGCAGAUCUUCUCUGUUCGAGAAGUACUCGUUUCCAGCUACUAAAGCUUCAGAGAGGCCCGCCUCCGUUUUGGACAGAUAUAACCGUGCCACUUCCCGCGAGAAGAGCAGAGAGCCAGACGGAGUAUCGCGAUACGGAUCCAACACGUAUCCCGGAUCGAGCUUGGCUCGAACUUAUGGAAACGAAAGUAGAAUCGAGAAGAAAGAGAGGUCCGAUCAUCCGCCGGUUUCCUACCGUGGAUUACGGCCGAACUCUGGGAGAAGUUCACGCGAACCUAGCCCGGAAGUCAACGUCGGAAAAUCGAACUCCUUCAGAAUGUAUUCGAGAGCCCCAUCCUACGGUCGAUCCAGUGCCACUUCUAGUGCCUCCGAAUCGAGCUCGGCGCCAAUCUCCUCGAGAUUCGGCUCGACAGCUGGUAGCAGGUUCCUUUCAUCGAGAAGCAGCAACGACCGAAUACCGGCAGCCAUAAGCUACUCCGGAUCGGACAGGUUCCGAACUUCAGGCAGUAAGCCUAUGCCGGCAAAUUUAAAGGACGAAGACACCGUUAAAUCCAACGUGGAAAGGAACGCGACUCAAGAAAAACGUUCCACUCCUGUUAAAUCGGAAGAAUUAAAAGUCGACAACAGACUUCAGGACAAUGAGACCGUUACAAUGGUUACGAGAGGUACGUCGCCCAGUCUACCGGCUUCUUCGUCCUUUGUGAGGAGCAGAAGAGCCGACAUAGGCAUCGCGAAUCAAAGGGAAGUCGCGCGAGUUCGAAAGAAAACGGAGACGAAGAAUCAAGAAGUUCAGAGCGAAAGGCUCGAGGAUGCUUCGAGAUUUUCGCGAUUUGGAGGCGGUGGACGAAUCUCGGGGACUCCGUGGUCAACGUACUUGGACAAAUUUUCCUCGAAUUCGAGCGGAAGUGGCGUGUACGCCAGAGGCUUUAACGGAGGCGUAACCAAUUCCAGAGUAAACAGCUUCGCGUUCUCGAGAUCGAACGACGCUUCCAGAAACGAUUCGACUUCAAAAUUAUCGCCUAGUUCUAGUCAAGAAAUCCACGGCAAUAGAAACCAAAAUGAACAGAAUACUAAAGCGUUCGGCGGUUUAGGUUUCGCGGUCACGAAAACGGAUUCGAAAGCGUCUACGGGUAACGAUCCAAGCAAUUCCAAUCAGACGGAGGUUAAAGCGCACAAUGGCGAGGUUCGUCCAUGUAGCGUCGGCAAGAUCGAAGUGAAAACCAGUCGUUUAGCGAAUCCUUCGGUUUUAAAGAGAGACAACUCACCGCACCAGCCUGGUGUUGUCAAGUCGCCAGAUUCCCGCGAAAAUACUUCGAAGAGCGAAGAACAGCAAAGUAGUAGAGAAAGUUCAACGUCGAAGAGCGAGGAUAGCAGCCAGAGAAGGCCAUCGAUACCGAGAUUAGGUCGUAUCGCAAUGAAGAACGAAGGCAAGGUUACGAAGUCGUCAUCGAGUUCGUCGACUAAGUCCGAUGGAUUGCGAGAAAGAAGGAGCUCGACACCUAAAUCUGACACUAGCUCGUUAUCGAAACUAGAUGAAUCUUCUAGGAUAGUCGAGGGCCACUGCCAGGGACAGAGCAAAGAAGUCUCCGCGUCUAAAAGCGAUAGUGUUUCUUCCACGAAAGAUUCUUUCCAAAGCAAUUCGUCCCAAAGCCGAUCCACAACACCCCAGUCGCGAAGCGGUUCUACGAAAAAUCUCUCCCGCCAAAUGACACGGACCGAUUCGUCGGAAGGAUCCGCUGUAAAUGUGCCAAUUGGCAGAUCGAAAUCGACGUCAGCCAGUUCGGUGACGAGUCAGGGUGCAAAAAUAAAGGCGACGCCGCCACCAUCGCCAGGGAAAUCUUCAGCGUCGACCGUCUCUUCAGUGAAUCUGAGGCAGGGCGGAUCACCGGAUGCUCGUGGCAAACCACCUGUACCGAAGAGCGAUGCCACAUCGGCGUCCGCAUCCAAGAGCAUCGUGCCAGUUAAGUACGUGAACAAGGAUUUUCGAAAGUCGACGUUAAACAUGGAGAAUGGCGACCCGUCGCAAUCUAAGUACAGCAGGAAGAAGAAGAAUCAACGAAGCAUGUCCGUCAGCUCUCAAGAUUCGCAAUCCGAACCGAACUCCGAACCGAAUAUCCAUCGUCCAGCUGUCCCCUCGGAAUCAAGCUCGAGUUCCGUGAAAUCGAAUAGAUCAAGGCUGAGAAUGCCAUCGUCCGGUACGUCGUCAAAGAGCAUCGGUAGGAAAAGCGAGUCGAGUAGUUCGUCGAGGCCGGAAAAUUCGAGGAGCAGCUCGAAAUCCCCUUCCGGCAAGAGAAGCAAGCAAGACGGAAGCUCGAGUUCCAGCGGCGUUAGCGAGUCGAAUUCGUCGAAUUCGUCGAGCAGCGAGGAGGAAGACGAUAAUAAACAGGCAAGACCAGGAUCGAGACGUCGUAAGAGGAGAACGUCAAAAUCUCCUUUCUGCGAGAAAAAAGGGAAGAUAAGCGCCGGGUCAUCGAGGACGAGCGUUUUGGCGUCAUCCACCGACGAAAUGUCUUUGACGAUGGACAAACCACCCAGACCGCCGUCUAGCCCAAGAUCGAAAAGCGAUCGUUCGGGGAAAACGGAGGAGGCUAAAUCAUUCCUGAUGAGGGCCCUCGCACCAGUGACGAAUCUUUUCAAGAAUAAGCAUCAAGAUUCCAGCGAGUCGGGUAAAUCAGGUGGUUGGCUGGAUUCCAACGAGGAGAGCACGGACGCGAAGAAGUCAGAGCAGAACGGUACGAUCGCUUUAUCGAAGAGUCUAUCGAAGAGCUUCAGUUUCACGAACUCGGAGAAGAACGACGACAAGAGACAUUCUAGCGUGAGGAUCAGGCGGAAUUUUUCCGGGGAGCAGCCGUGGUGGAUGGAUCCGAACUCCGACAAUGUUCCUGAAGGCGUCGAAACGGGAAGCGUGUGCAACGAAGAUAUCAGUCAAGAAACGACCGUCAGUAGUACCUUACCUGACGAUGGCAAAUUUAAAUACAAAGUGUGGAGACAAGAAUCGGAGGAACGAGCUUGGUGGUUAGAUUCAAACGACAGCGCGGCCUCGGAAGAUGCGAGGAAACAGUCGACAACGAUUUUAAGACAAGAAUCGGGAGAGAAGGCUUGGUGGCUAGAUUCCAAUGAUAACGUCCCGUCGGAAGAAACUCAGAGACAAUCUUCCGCAACAGUUUUGAAGCACGAUUCGGGAGAUAGGGGUCGUUGGUUAGAGGGAAAUGACAGCGUUCUUUCGGAUGAAGCCAAAAAACUGUCGCGACCGACGAUAUGGAGACAAGAAUCGGGGGAAAGGGCUUGGUGGUUGGAUGCAAACGAUAAUGUUCCGUCGGAGGAAUCGAAGAAACAAUCGUCUAUGGCGUCUCCUGUUUCGAAACGAGAGUCCAGUCGUUCCAGUACUCGAUCCAACGAACGAAGAAAUCGACUCAGGCACCAACAAUCCGGCGAACAAGCAUGGUGGAUGAACGACAAUCCUGAGAACGUACCUGAAGGAGUCGAAGUCAUUCCUGUCGCUACAACGCCCACGCAAAAAAAUAAUAGCUACAAUGAUGAAGUGGACGACAGUCAACCGUACAAUAGAAGUAUAAAUAAAGUCAGGCACAUCGAGUCUGGUGAGAAACCAUGGUGGAUGGAUAGCUCGUCGAACGUUCCUGACGGCGUCGUUAAGAUUCCUAUGGAAACGUCGAACAGCACCUCCGAUUCCUCCGAAUCGUUCGAGAAAAUCGAUAUUGGCGUUAACCCUGAACCUGAGAUAUACGCGAAGAGAAACCUUUCUAGAUUCCCUAUCGAGUUUCCGCCACCACCACCCGAUGAGCCGCUUGGGGAUCGCGCCAGUCCUGAAGGGGUGGAAAAUCCUCCAGAUCCGCCUGACAACUAUGGCGGACGCGAUUCGCCUUACGAUAAUGUUCAGUCGACACCCCGAAGAUCGUCGCCAAGGAAACGUCCUUCCACGUUACCGUUGUUCAUCGGCCAACACACCAAUAUCGACGAUUUAUUGGGCGACACGACCACCUUGUGUCCAAGCCCUGUCUUGUCUCGAAUUCGUAAACGCGAACGCAUCGGCGAGGAUUCGGCGGAAGAGAGUUCAGAAUGCGAAGAGAUCGACGCCACCCAAGUGAUCAUCCACGACAGCACUCCGCAGACACCGGUGAUACAACGACGACAUCGGGACAACGAGAGACCUCAACCCGACGGCUACAUUCCGGGUGUCCUUUGUAGCCGGGACGGAAUAGGGAGGGGGUUGACCGCACGGCGGCGCCACUGUCGCCUUAGUGGCGACAGGUGUCCGUGGCGUUCAGUGUCGCGGCGGCCGCUCGCGAGGUAAGAUACAUUGUUGAUUGUGUAUUUUUUCUCUCAUUUUCUUUCUUAUCCAGUUUUAUGAUUCCGCGUUAUUUUCGUUCGCGUAUCGUCGAUUAAUGUGUGUAUUUUGACGAGUGUCGUACGCGAUCACGGAUCAAGGUGACGCGCGUUUCCGUGCGCGGGAAGCGCGCGUGUCGUUCGCGCUCACUCUGAGUUUUUGUCGCGCAGACUCCGGUUCGACAGUUCGUUUACUGUAUAUAUCGUUGUUCUCCUCCCGGCUUCUGGUCCAGACACUGCUCCAAAAAUCGAACAUCAACGGCUGGCCGUUACGAUCGAGCGAUGUCGUUCGAUAACUGACCAGUCAGUGCCACAGAUACACACUUCAAACCGAUCGAUCGAUGGAAGAGCGCGAAAAGCUGCAGAGACAAAAUAGCGGCACUUUUUCCUCCGUCACGAAUCUCCAUCGUCGCUCAGACAAAAAUAAAUCGGCAGCUUUCCACGGUGGCUCGCG